Molecule: unclassified non-coding RNA, 352 nt
Filed under: soil metagenome
Description: partial contains 5.8S ribosomal RNA, internal transcribed spacer 2, and large subunit ribosomal RNA
Rfam family: 5.8S ribosomal RNA (bases 1-120)
Source: RNAcentral
GAUGAAGAACUUAGCGAAAUGCGAUAAGUAAUGUGAAUUGCAGAAUUCAGUGAAUCAUCGAAUCUUUGAACGCACAUUGCGCCCGCCAGUAUUCUGGCGGGCAUGCCUGUUCGAGCGUCAUUACAACCCUCAGGCCCCCGGGCCUGGCGUUGGGGAUCGGCGGAGCCCCCCGUGGGCACACGCCGUCCCCCAAAUGCAGUGGCGGUCCCGCCGCAGCUUCCAUCGCGUAGUAGCUAACACCUCGCGACUGGAGAGCGGCGCGGCCACGCCGUAAAACACCCAACUCUUCUGAAGUUGACCUCGAAUCAGGUAGGAAUACCCGCUGAACUUAAGCAUAUCAAUAAGCGGAGGA